RNAcentral lists this unclassified non-coding RNA (329 nucleotides) under soil metagenome. RNAcentral's name for it is "partial contains 5.8S ribosomal RNA, internal transcribed spacer 2, and large subunit ribosomal RNA". The stretch from base 1 to 120 matches the Rfam family "5.8S ribosomal RNA", at positions 35 to 154 of the family's 154-position model. The record is from RNAcentral.
GAUGAAGAACGUAGCGAAAUGCGAUAAGUAGUGUGAAUUGCAGAAUUCAGUGAAUCAUCGAAUCUUUGAACGCACAUUGCGCCCCUUGGUAUCCCGAGGGGCAUGCCUGUUCGAGCGUCAUUUCACCACUCAAGCCUGGCUUGGUGUUGGGCGACGUCCCCUUUGGGGACGCGCCUCGAAACGCUCGGCGGCGUGGCACCGGCUUUAAGCGUAGCAGAAUCCUUCGCUUUGGAAGUCGGGGCCCCGUCUGCCGGAAGACCUACUCGCAAGGUUGACCUCGGAUCAGGCAGGGAUACCCGCUGAACUUAAGCAUAUCAAUAAGCGGAGGA